RNAcentral lists this ribosomal RNA (429 nucleotides) under Actinomycetes bacterium. RNAcentral's name for it is "Actinobacteria bacterium partial 16S ribosomal RNA". It matches the Rfam family "Bacterial small subunit ribosomal RNA", at positions 355 to 776 of the family's 1533-position model. The record is from RNAcentral. Lineage: Bacteria; Bacillati; Actinomycetota; Actinomycetes.
UAGGGAAUCUUCCGCAAUGGGCGAAAGCCUGACGGAGCAACGCCGCGUGAGUGAUGAAGGUCUUCGGAUCGUAAAACUCUGUUAUUAGGGAAGAACAAAUGUGUAAGUAACUAUGCACGUCUUGACGGUACCUAAUCAGAAAGCCACGGCUAACUACGUGCCAGCAGCCGCGGUAAUACGUAGGUGGCAAGCGUUAUCCGGAAUUAUUGGGCGUAAAGCGCGCGUAGGCGGUUUUUUAAGUCUGAUGUGAAAGCCCACGGCUCAACCGUGGAGGGUCAUUGGAAACUGGAAAACUUGAGUGCAGAAGAGGAAAGUGGAAUUCCAUGUGUAGCGGUGAAAUGCGCAGAGAUAUGGAGGAACACCAGUGGGGAAGGCGACUUUCUGGUCUGUAACUGAGGCUGAUGUGCGAAAGCGUGGGGAUCAAACAGG